UGUGUACUAAUGAGAGGCACAUUAGAGAACUCACCACAAUACACAAUGAUAUCCAAGUUACUCAAUGCGGAGUCAUACCAAACUAUAUCAUCAUUAGUGAGGGACAUAAGUCUCUGAGACCACCGUAGACAUUGUUUGUUCUCCAUAAAAGAAAGCGUCUGAGGCAAGUGCAAAAUAAACCACUUGUACAGAAGAGGAAC
Molecule: long non-coding RNA, 200 nt
Filed under: Lathyrus oleraceus (garden pea)
Lineage: Eukaryota; Viridiplantae; Streptophyta; Magnoliopsida; Fabales; Fabaceae
Description: Pisum sativum (pea) long non-coding RNA (PSAT_LNC031729)
Source: RNAcentral